This 467-nucleotide ribosomal RNA is filed under the name uncultured bacterium. RNAcentral describes it as "partial 16S ribosomal RNA". It matches the Rfam family "Bacterial small subunit ribosomal RNA", at positions 28 to 506 of the family's 1533-position model. The record is from RNAcentral.
GACGAACGCUGGCGGCGUGCUUAAUACAUGCAAGUCGAACGGAAAGGCCCUGCUUUUGUUGUUUGCUCGUGUGUCGAAAGGGUGUGUAUCACGUGAGUAUCCCGCCCUUUACUUUGGGAUAACUUCAUUAAACUCGGUCUAAUACCGGAUAUGAGCUCCUGCUGCAUGUUUGGGUUUGUAAAGUUUCGGCGGUUGGGCAUUGCCUCGGGGCUUAUCAGUUUGUUGGUGGGUUAGUGGCUUACCAAGGCAUUGACGGGUAGCCGGCCUGGGAGGGUGACCGGCCAAAAUGGGAAUGAGAGACGGCAGAGAGUACUACGGGAGGAAGGAGGGGGGAAUAUUGCACAAAGGGCGGAAGACUGAUGAAGGAACGCCGAGUGCGGGAUGACGGCGUAAGGGUUGUAAAACGGUUUCGCUUGAAACGAAGCGUGGGUGACGGUAAUGGGUAAAGAAGCACCGGCUAACUACGU